Molecule: ribosomal RNA, 253 nt
Filed under: uncultured bacterium
Lineage: Bacteria
Description: partial 16S ribosomal RNA
Rfam family: Bacterial small subunit ribosomal RNA
Source: RNAcentral
UACGGAGGGUGCAAGCGUUAUCCGGAUUCACUGGGUUUAAAGGGUGCGUAGGCGGCCUGACAAGUCUGAUGUGAAAUCCCUGGGCUCAACCCAGGGCCUGCAUCGGAAACUGUCGGGCUUGAGUAUGGGAGAGGUGAGUGGAAUUUCCGGUGUAGCGGUGAAAUGCGUAGAUAUCGGAAGGAACACCUGUGGCGAAAGCGGCUCACUGGACCAUUACUGACGCUGAGGCACGAAAGCUAGGGGAGCAAACAGG